This 407-nucleotide ribosomal RNA is filed under the name uncultured bacterium. Its description in RNAcentral is "partial 16S ribosomal RNA". It matches the Rfam family "Bacterial small subunit ribosomal RNA", at positions 28 to 526 of the family's 1533-position model. The record is from RNAcentral.
GACGAACGCUGGCGGCGUGCCUAAUACAUGCAAGUAGGACGCAGUUGCGAACGGGUGAGUAACGCGUAGGUAACUACCUAUUAGAGGGGGAUAACUAUUGGAAACGAUAGCUAAUACCGCAUACUAGUAGAUGGACCUGCGUUGUAUUAGCUAGUCGGGAAGGUAAAGGCCUACCUAGGCAAAGAUACAUAGCCGACCGGGGAGUGUUAUCUGCCACACUUGGACUGGGACAAGGCUCAGACUCCUACUGGAGGCAGCAGUAGGGAAUCGUCGGCAAUGGGGGGAACACUGACCGAGCAACGCCGCGGGAGUGAAGAAGGUUUUCGGAUCGUAAAGCUCUGUUGUUAAGGAAGCGGUACUUAACCAGAAAGGGACGGCUAACUACGUGCCAGCCGCCGCGGUAAUUC